AUUGAACGCUGGCGGCAGGCCUAACACAUGCAAGUCGAGCGAGUGGCGGACGGGUGAGGAAUGUCUGGGAAACUGCCUGAUGGAGGGGGAUAACUCCGGGAAACGGUAGCUAAUACCGCAUACCAUCGGAUGUGCCCAGCUGGGAUUAGCUGGUAGGUGGGGUAAAGGGUGACCAAGGCGACGAUCCCUAGCGGGUCUGAGAGGCUGACCAGCCACACUGGAACUGAGACACGGUCCAGAGUCCUACGGGAGGCAGCAGUGGGGAAGAUUGCACAAUGGGCGCAAGCCUGAUGCCGCCAUGCCGCGUGUAUGAAGAAGGCCUGCGGGUUGUAAAGUACUUUCAGCGGGGAGGCGUUACCCGCAGAAGAAGCACCGGCUAACUCCGUGCCAGCAGCCGCGGUAAUUC
This 406-nucleotide ribosomal RNA is filed under the name uncultured bacterium. RNAcentral describes it as "partial 16S ribosomal RNA". It matches the Rfam family "Bacterial small subunit ribosomal RNA", at positions 29 to 526 of the family's 1533-position model. The record is from RNAcentral.